This 677-nucleotide long non-coding RNA is filed under the name Capsicum annuum. RNAcentral describes it as "long non-coding RNA (CANN_LNC006216)". Lineage: Eukaryota; Viridiplantae; Streptophyta; Magnoliopsida; Solanales; Solanaceae. The record is from RNAcentral.
GGUAAUCUGUAGGAGCAAGAGAAAUUUUGAUACACUAACUUUUGGUUCUUAAACUCUGUUCUUCAGGGUUAUUUCUGUGGUGAAUGCUUCCAUACUAGUGAUAUAAUUAGCCUGAAUCAAAUGCCAAUUACUGGCUCUUCUGUUGACGUAGUAGUAUUCGCGGGCUUUUACAUCUACUUAAUAUUAGUCACAGUCAGCACCAUUUCUUCAAUAAGUUAAUAACAUAAAAAUGAACCUAAACUUGACACCAAAUUAUAACUUUGACCUUAAACUUUGAUAGUGCACAAAUAUGACCUUUAACUAUUCAAAACUGCACAAAUAUGACCUCCAAUCCUACGUGGCAAAAUGCGUGUUCAACACGCAAAACUGGGCGCUUCCAGCUUAAAAUCUAAGGGCAUAAUACAUAAAUAUGACCUUAAACUUUGACAGUGCACAAAUAUGACCUUUAAAUGACUCUUCACUAUUAUUUUUUCAUUAUUUUUGGCUCAAAGAUGAAAAUAACAUCUAAUUUCUUUUGUCAUUGCGGAAAAAGAGCAAUAUUGAAGAUUUAUUAAUUAGGCGGGUCAGCCUCAUACGAAAAAAUCGAGCGGGUAUGUAUAUAUAUUAUAAAGCAGAGGACGAAUUUAAGUUAUAUAAUAUAUCUAAAUAUUAUUUAUUUAAAUAUUAAAUUAAAGAUG